This 1026-nucleotide ribosomal RNA is filed under the name unidentified. RNAcentral describes it as "bacterial SSU rRNA". It matches the Rfam family "Bacterial small subunit ribosomal RNA", at positions 355 to 1381 of the family's 1533-position model. The record is from RNAcentral. RNAcentral also lists the same sequence under 1 other name.
UGAGGAAUAUUGGUCAAUGGGCGCGAGCCUGAACCAGCCAAGUAGCGUGCAGGACGACGGCCCUAUGGGUUGUAAACUGCUUUUAUGCGGGGAUAAAGGAGUCCACGUGUGGAUUUUUGCAGGUACCGCAUGAAUAAGGACCGGCUAAUUCCGUGCCAGCAGCCGCGGUAAUACGGAAGGUCCGGGCGUUAUCCGGAUUUAUUGGGUUUAAAGGGAGCGUAGGCCGCGUUUUAAGCGUGUUGUGAAAUGUAGGCGCCCAACGUCUGCAUCGCAGCGCGAACUGGAACGCUUGAGUACGCGCAACGUUGGCGGAAUUCGUCGUGUAGCGGUGAAAUGCUUAGAUAUGACGAAGAACUCCGAUUGCGAAGGCAGCUGACGGGAGCGGCACUGACGCUUAAGCUCGAAGGUGCGGGUAUCAAACAGGAUUAGAUACCCUGGUAGUCCGCACAGUAAACGAUGGAUGCCCGCUGUGUGCCAUUUAUGGUACGCGGCUAAGCGAAAGCGUUAAGCAUCCCACCUGGGGAGUACGCCGGCAACGGUGAAACUCAAAGGAAUUGACGGGGGCCCGCACAAGCGGAGGAACAUGUGGUUUAAUUCGAUGAUACGCGAGGAACCUUACCCGGGCUUGAAUUGCAGAUGUUUAUAUCAGAGAUGAUAUAUUCCCUUCGGGGCAUUUGUGAAGGUGCUGCAUGGUUGUCGUCAGCUCGUGCCGUGAGGUGUCGGCUUAAGUGCCAUAACGAGCGCAACCCCUUUUUUUAGUUGCCAUCAGGUAGUGCUGGGCACUCUAGAGAUACUGCCACCGUAAGGUGUGAGGAAGGUGGGGAUGACGUCAAAUCAGCACGGCCCUUACGUCCGGGGCUACACACGUGUUACAAUGGGUGGUACAGAGAGUUGGUUGUACGCAAGUGCAAUCUAAUCCUAAAAACCAUUCUCAGUUCGGACUGGGGUCUGCAACCCGACCCCACGAAGCUGGAUUCGCUAGUAAUCGCGCAUCAGCCAUGGCGCGGUGAAUACGUUCCCGGGCCU